RNAcentral lists this ribosomal RNA (301 nucleotides) under uncultured bacterium. RNAcentral's name for it is "partial 16S ribosomal RNA". It matches the Rfam family "Bacterial small subunit ribosomal RNA", at positions 509 to 807 of the family's 1533-position model. The record is from RNAcentral.
CAGUAGCCACGGGAAUACGGAGGGGGCUAGCGUUGUUCGGAAUUACUGGGCGUAAAGCGCACGUAGGCGGUUCGUUAAGUCUGUUGUGAAAGCCCCGGGCUCAACCUGGGAAUGGCAAUGGAUACUGGCGAGCUAGAGUGUGUCAGAGGAUGGUGGAAUUCCCGGUGUAGCGGUGAAAUGCGUAGAGAUCGGGAGGAACAUCAGUGGCGAAGGCGGCCAUCUGGGACAACACUGACGCUGAGGCACGAAAGCGUGGGGAGCAAACAGGAUUAGAUAUCCCAGUAGUCCCUGUCUCUUAUAC